GCGCGAAAACUUUACAAUGCUGGCAACAGCGAUAAGGGAACCUCGAGUGCCAGGUUACAAAUCUGGCUGUCGAGAUGCCUAAAAAGCAUUUCAUAGCAAGGGCCGGGCAAGACCGGUGCCAGCCGCCGCGGUAACACCGGCGGCUCGAGUGGUAACCGUUAUUAUUGGGUCUAAAGGGUCUGUAGCCGGCCGGAUAAGUCUCUUGAGAAAUCUGGCAGCUUAACUGUCAGGCUUUCAGGAGAUACUGUCUGGCUCGAGGCCGGGAGAGGUGAGAGGUACUUCAGGGGUAGGGUGAAAUCUUGUAAUCCUUGAAGGACCACCAGUGGCGAAGGCGUCUCACCAGAACGGACCUGACGGCAAGGGACGAAAGCUAGGGGCACGAACCGGAUUAGAAACCCCGGU
This 402-nucleotide ribosomal RNA is filed under the name uncultured bacterium. RNAcentral's name for it is "bacterial SSU rRNA". It matches the Rfam family "Archaeal small subunit ribosomal RNA", at positions 339 to 742 of the family's 1478-position model. The record is from RNAcentral.